UAAUACAGAGGCCCCAAGCGUUACUGAGAAUCACUGGGUUUAAAGGGUGCGUAGGUGGUCCGUUAAGUUCGUUGUGAAAUCCCUGGGCUCAACCCAGGAACUGCUUCGAAUACUGGCGGACUUGAGGCUAGUAGGGGUCACUGGAACUGACGGUGGAGCGGUGAAAUGCGUAGAUAUCGUCAGGAACGCCAAUGGUGAAGACAGGUGACUGGGCUAGAUCUGACACUGAGGCACGAAAGCGUGGGGAGCGAACGGGAUUAGAUACCCCGGUAGUCCACGCCCUAAACGAUGCAGACUAGACUGCAGCGGGUUACACCCCGUUGCGGUCGGAGCGAAAUUGUUAAGUCUGCCACCUGGGAAGUACGGUCGCAAGGCUA
RNAcentral lists this ribosomal RNA (377 nucleotides) under uncultured bacterium. Its description in RNAcentral is "bacterial SSU rRNA". It matches the Rfam family "Bacterial small subunit ribosomal RNA", at positions 521 to 896 of the family's 1533-position model. The record is from RNAcentral.